Molecule: long non-coding RNA, 433 nt
Organism: Bubalus bubalis (water buffalo)
Lineage: Eukaryota; Metazoa; Chordata; Mammalia; Artiodactyla; Bovidae
Exons: 2
Source: RefSeq, a predicted model, not a curated record
GAGUAGGCAUCUUUUAAUUUCAUGGCUGCAGUCACGAUCUGCAGUGAUUUUGGAGCCCAAAAAAAUAAAGUCUGACACUGUUUCCCCAGAUAUUUACUUUAGUAUUUUUUAAAACAUUACUAGCCACUAAUUUUGAAUGCUUCAUACCCUUUAAAACACAAUUUAUCAUUCUGUGUCUAGAUUUUAUUCUGCUUCACUUUUCUACCUGGCUGUUCAUUAAUACCAUUCUGUUUUAGAAAGUCUUAACAGUAAAUGUUUUACUACCUAGUAGGGAGAUCCAUCCUUCAUCUUCUUUUUCAAGACUGCCUUAACUAUUCUCUGGAAUUGAACUGAGUCCAUGCACCACAACCUGUGAAGCCUGCAUGCCUGGAGCCUGCACUCUACAAGAGAAGCCACUGAAAUGAGAAGUCUGUGCACUGCAACUAGAGAGCAG